RNAcentral lists this long non-coding RNA (4532 nucleotides) under Sus scrofa (pig). RNAcentral's name for it is "lncRNA (ENSSSCG00000057855.1)". Lineage: Eukaryota; Metazoa; Chordata; Mammalia; Artiodactyla; Suidae. The record is from RNAcentral.
CAGCCAGUCCAGUGCCGUUACAAAUUUAGUUGAGUUGCAUUUUUUUUUUUUAUUGGAAGUAUUGUUGAGAUGAACAUUUUUGGCACAUAGUUUUUUAUUUGGUUAUGAUUUUUUCCUUAGGCUAGUUUCCAAAGGUAGAAUUUUAAUGUUCAAAGAAACCUAAGUUAUAAGAUCCUAGAUAGAAAUUUUCAAAAUCACUGUCUAAAGGGAUUGUGGUUAUUUUUGUCAGGACUGGCAGUGUAUCAGAAUUCCUGUUUUAUUUUAACCCUUUAGCAUUGACCUUGCUUAAAUUUUCAGAAGUUUUUGCUAAUUGAGUAUUUAAAAACACACGAAUUCUACACUUCUUUGAUACUAUAGGUCAACCCAUUUGACCACUGAUUUUUGCUUACUUUUUAUACUAUUUUAAUCAAAUUUUAGAGUAGCAGCAGUGUGUUAUGGGCACAUGAGGAGAGCUUAAUAGAUGCUUGUUCCUUGAGUAUUGUAUGUAGGUAAGACAUCAUGUGAAAUUAUUCUUUUUUGAACACUUUCUAGUUUGACUCCCUUUAUACCAUUAUAAUUAAAAAAACAAACAAACCAUAAGUUCUCUUGAAAUGAGGUUACUGUGACUCUGAGAAAUGUAUAGCACAUCAGUUCUUUUACUAUGUGUAAGCUUUAGAUAAUGUCACUUUCAAGUCUCUGAGGGUCAUCCUGACUGUAAGACGAGUACAAGUAACCAAUUUGUCUAGUUAUAGGUGUUUUCUUCUCAUUUACUAAAUAUUCUCAUUAAAUGCUUUUUUUCCUUAAUUUUUUUUCUCUCUCUUUUGUAUGCACUGUGCUGUCUCUUCCUGCCAGCUUGUAGAAAAGAGAAACCGUAGUCUGCAUCAAUAACUUUUUUUCUUCUUUCUGAAGAGUGAAACAAGUGUGUUUUAGAAACAGUGGCUAAGGAUCCGAAGGACUCGAGAAUACCAGUCCGCUUUUCUGCUGUAGGAAAAAGGGCAUUAUGAUGUUGAUCCUUGUUGAGUGUUGGGUGUCUUCCUCAGUGUCAGGCACAUGAUAGGGUAAUUAAUUGAUGCUCAUUGGGAUAGUUGAGCAUGAUUCUUUACAACAGGGAUCAGAUACUGUUUUAUUUACAUAUUGUGUGUAAUAGAUAGCUUAUACUUUAUACAUUUUACAUUUAUAUAUAAAUUACUUACAUGCUUUAUAGAUACAAAGCAAGGAUCAGGUAUCUUAGUUAAUAGCAUAUAGUAUGUAAAUAUAAUUUGUAUGUAAAAUUCCUUUAUAGUGCAUAAUAUAGGCAGAUUGGGUAGAAAGGUUAGUGGUUACAAGGAAAAAUGCGAUGUUCUUCAUCUCCUUAUGAAAUGAGAAAAAGGUAACAUAAUAAAGGUGUUUGAAGACUUAUUAAUGAAAAGUUCUCAAAUUAUUUUUAGACUUAGUGUAUUUACUUACAAUAAUGCUAACUGUUGCAUAAUGAUGAUAUCUUAAGAUAUAUAGUGCUCAACCAUUAGAAAAAAUAGAAGUAAAUUUCAUAUUCACAUACAGUUCACAAGAGUUUUUCUGACUGGUGGAUGGUUCUUGGGUUAAUGAUUCAAGGACCUGGGCUGAUCUUAUUUUAUGGCUCCAUCAUUUUACAUGUACGGCUUCCAUGGUCCUUAUGUGCUUCAAGCCAGCUGAGGGGAGGGAGCAGGGAAAUUGCACAUUGGAAGUUCUCAUGGUCCAGGCCUGGAGCGGCUGCCCGUAUUUUGCCCACAUCUCAUUGGCUGGAACUCAUUCAUAGGUCCUCAGGUACCUGGCAGGGACUGGGAAUAUAGUAUGUGUGCUUGCCCAUAGAUAGUCAACUUCAUCUCAGUCUUCCUUCAUCACUGUUGCUUUUCAUUCAUGAAUAAAAUGACUCCAGUAGGGCUAUCACACCCCAGUCUGGGCUGAUUCCUAAGAGAAUUAAUGGCUCUUUUAAAAAUCAAGGUUAUACUGAAUGUUGGAGUACAAAAUUCCUAAGUUUAAGAACUGCUAAGCCUUGAUACCUUGGUCAUGACAACUUUCUCCAGGGCCAGGGAGGGAACUUUUGAAUCCAAAUAUUUUCUCUGUAGAAAAGGCCCACCCACAAUAACAUUCAUUCGCAGAAGGAAAUGAUUUAUUGCUCCCUGUGAAUAAGUGCCAAAAAAAGUUUUCUACUGAAAUGUGGUGCCAGUGUUUCCAUAUAAACACAAUUUUACUAUAUUCGGAGAUGUGGAAAUUUAUUUUUUCCAUAGGAUUUAUAGGCUUUGAGAUGGAAAGGGUCCUCAUAAAGGCCUCGUGCUGUUUGAAAACUUGAAAAUGUUGAGUUUUUAUAGUUCAAAAAUGUGUGCUAUAGAAAUGAUAGCAGCGAUAUAUAGAGGACAUGUAAAGCUUUUUUCUUCUAGGUUACUUGGUAUGCUCGGCCAAGAUAUUGUUUUAUAUUCUCAUUCAUUAAACAAAUAUUUAUUGGGCACCAGCUGUGUGUUGUGUGAGGGGCACACAUUUAUUUCCCUAGUUCUCUGGAAUUUCAAGUCAGUUCGGGGAGAGAAGCUCUUUAUCUAUGAACCUAACACGUAAUCAAUCAUGCUACAGGGGAAAUGGUGAAGGUGGAAGAGAAUGAUGUUUUUAGGGGCAUUUUGAAGUUUUCAUCAACUAACAUAGCAAAUUGCUUUUGAAUAAUCUCAAUUGGUAUUUACCUGGAAUAGAAGGAGAGUAUUUAGGGCAAAGAGGUACAGGUUUUAACCAUUCAUAACAUGAUUGGGAUCCUGGAAUUCGUUGUGAAAGGCUGAGUGUUUGGCAGUUUGGGGAGGAAUUGUGCCUUUCCCUAUAGGUUGGACUGGUUUUCGCAGGUCCAUAUUGAGGCUUUUUGCUUUUUUCUGUAGGCACUAGAUAUCUCUGUGUGAGUUUUUAAUUUGGACGAUGAUACGCUCCGUAUCUUAGAGAAUCUUGUUAGUUCUGCAAAUGGUGUGUUAAUGUUGGAAAGACCAGAGACAGGGGAGAGAGGACGAGGGCAGUUCCCUGGAGCGGAGAGCUCAAAAUGACUGGGAAAGAGAGGCCACAAGUAGAAUUGCCAAAAGUUUGUCAUCAGUUAGUCUCUGAAAGGGUCUCUUUUUUUGGUUUGUCAUGAGAAAUGGAAAAGAUAAUGGUAAGUAAAAUUGAAUGGUAUAUUUGACCAAGUUUUAAUAAAUUAAUUUUAAAUACAGUUGAUAGAUUUUUACAUUAUAUAUCAAAUACAGGAAAAAUAAAAAAUAUACAAGAAGAUGAAGACAACUUUUCAUUUUUUCGUUUUUAUUUUUUGUUGUUGCUUUUUAGCACUGCAGGUGCAGCAUAUGGAGGUUCCCAGGCUAGGGGUCAAAUCAGAGCUACAGCUGCUGGCCUACACCACAGCUCACAGCAAUGCCGGCUCCUUAACCCACUGAGCGAGUCCAUGGAUUGAACUCGCAUCCUCAUGGAUACUGGUCGGGUUCGUUUCUGCUGAGCCACAAGGGAACUCUUGAAGAUACCUUGGAUUACUGCUUACUGUGAUAAUAAUUAUUUUCCUCUAAGGCCUCUUCCCUCGCUCCAUCCCACAUAAGGAUUUUAACCAUUGUUCUAAUUUUAGUAUCAGCGUGGUUAAUUAUCUGACUAUUUAGAGAAGAUCUGCGUAUGCUCAGAGAAGCAUGACCUAUAAAACUCCUGCCAGUAUGGAGUCGAAUGUUCUCCGGAGGGAGACAGAUAACACAUCAAGUAAGAAACUCUGCACACAGUGGCAGGUGGUCCUAGCAGCUACAGGGAAAAGCGAGGCAGGGCACGGGGCCUGGCAACGACGGAAAGUCUGUCCUCUACGGAGGGACCAGGGAGGGCCUCGCAGGCAGCGUGUGAGGAGGGACCCGACCGUGGGAGCAGAUGAGCUCUUUGGGUUCCAGGGAAGGGAUGUUCAAGUAGAGGGAGCAGCCGGUGCCUAGACUGAGGUGCAAAGCUGUGAGGCCUGUAGGUGAGGGACCCCAGGGGUGGCAGGGAGCCUGGAAGAGGAUAGCAGAGGGGAGGGGAGGAAGUCUGAGAGCGAGACGGCGGCCACGUCACUGCCCCAGUGUGGGCCGCUGUGGGGAUGUUGGCCAUUUUUCUUGAGUUAAACAGGAUGUAACAUCUGAAGUUGGGAAAGGAGAGCCUGGGCUGUGAUGUUGAGGGCAGAGUGUAGUGGGCUAGGGUGGGAGGUGGCGAGGGCACUCACUCAGCCAUCCAGGUAAGAGAGAAAAUGGUGACUUGGAGCAGAGUGGCGGGGGGCUGGGGGGUGAGAGAUGGUCCCACCGAGACCACAGGUGCAGACAGGCUGUGUGUGUGGUCCGACAGAGCGCGGUUGAGCAUGGAAAAGUGAGCUUUUCCCCUGGUGUAACUGGAAGAAUGGACUUAGCAACACCAAGACGGGGAGGGCAAGAAUCAGGAGCUUAGUUUUGGGGCAUCAUUAAGUUGCUGUGUCUGUAAGACAUAAAGGUGGAAGUCCCAGGCGGGCAGUUGCCAAGGAAACGACCUUGGACGUCAGAAGGUCAGAGGUGAAGUUUGAAGACGUUUUGAUUGUAUUUGGA